RNAcentral lists this long non-coding RNA (851 nucleotides) under Salmo salar (Atlantic salmon). RNAcentral's name for it is "lncRNA (ENSSSAG00000112609.1)". The record is from RNAcentral. Lineage: Eukaryota; Metazoa; Chordata; Actinopteri; Salmoniformes; Salmonidae.
UCCACUAGAUGUCAACGAUCUUUAUAAAGUUGUUUGAAGCGUCUAUGAUAAACAGAGAGCAAAUUAGAAUCCAAGGAAGUUGACAUGUCAUCACUUCAUUUUUUUGCGCCUGCGCAUAAAUCUGAGAAACGUGAGUUUGUCAUCAUUGUUUAUCUAGACAUAGGAUAGGUUGUGUGAAAAUAUUACUGAUGUUUAACGUUAAAAAUGGACCAAAAGAUUAAUGCUAAACAACAUUUGACAUGUUUGAACGGACGUAAAUAGAUUAUUUACUAGGUUUUUUUAGCUUUUCGGCGUGAUUUUACACUCCCCCCACCACGUUUUGUGGGAGCAUAAUGAACGCUAAGUACUUGGUGUUAUUUGGACAUAAAUUAUGAACUUUGUCAAAAGAAACCACAUUUGUUCCGGACCUGGGAUGCCUUCCGGACCUGGGAUGUCUGCCUUCUGAUGGAGAUAAUCAAAGGUCAUCUAAUGAUUGCGUUGAUGUGGUCAGGACCUGAGCCCUAGGACCAUGCCUCAGGGUUACCUGGCCUGAUGACUCCUUGCUGUCCCCAGUCCACCUGGUCGUGCUGCUGCUCCAGUUUCAACUGUUCUUCCUGCAGCUAUGGAACCCUGACCUGUUCACCGGACGUGCUGCCUUGUCCCAGACCUGCUGUUUUCUACUCUCUAGAGACUGCAGGAGAAGAAAGGAAGGGAGGAGAGGAGAGACCCAGAGAGACUAGUCCUCAAAAGACUUAGAUCAUCGAGGCAAGAAGCAAAAACACACACCUACACACACUCAAUCAAACUACAAAAGCGAUUAGAGUGGGUUCAGCGCAGGACACAGAAACCCACACACACACACACACUCAGUC